Molecule: ribosomal RNA, 1239 nt
Filed under: metagenome
Description: SSU rRNA
Rfam family: Eukaryotic small subunit ribosomal RNA
Source: RNAcentral
AGUCUGGUGCCAGCAGCCGCGGUAAUUCCAGCUCCAAGAGCGUAUAUUCAAUUUGCUGCAGUUAAAAAGCUCGUAGUCGGAUUUCUGGACAUUUGUUUGGGUUGGUUGGCUCACGCUUUCCUUCCCUUUCAUUGUCUUCUCCAUGUUUGUGUUUCAUUCUGCCCUUCACUGGGUGGUUUGUUUACCUUACAUCGUUGACCGUGCUUUAAUUCGCGUGUUCAAAGCAGGCUUUUACGCCUUGAAGAGUAUAGCAUGGGAUCAUGAAAUAGGACCCUCUUUUAUGUUUGUUGACUUUGGAUUGAGGGUAAUGAUAAAUAGGGGUGGUCGGGGGUGUACGGAUUCCGUGGCGAGAGGUGAAAUUCUUGGACCCACGGAGGACGAACUAAAGCGAAAGCAUUCACCAAGGACAUACCCAUUGAUCAAGAACGAAAGAUAGGGGAUCGAAGAUGAUCAGAGACCGUUGUAGUCCUAUCCCUAAACGAUACCGACCGAGGAUCGGAGGGUGUCUAUUUGUGCGACUCCUUCGGGACUCUGUGGGAAACCAUUGAGUCUUUGGGUUCCGGGGGGAGUACGGUCGCAAGGCUGAAACUUAAAGGAAUUGACGGAAGGGCACACCAGGAGUGGAUCCUGCGGCUUAAUUCGACCCAACACGGGAAAACUCACCAGGUCCGACAUAGCAAGGAUUGACAGAUCGAUAGCUCUUUCUUGACUCUAUGAGUGGUGGUGCAUGGCCGUUCUUAGUUGGUGGAGUGAUUUGUCUGGUUGAUUCCGAUAACGGACGAGACCUCAACCUGCUAAAUAGGAAGUUUGAUGGGGGAAAUUUGGGUGAAGGGGUUAUUGUAUUGAGGCUUCGGCUUCUUUCGAUUUCUUUGGAUCCUUUUUCCAUCAUUCUCGCCUUCUUAGAGGGACUGACUGCUCUUUGAAGCAGUAGGAAGCUUGAGGCAAUAACAGGUCUGUGAUGCCCUUGGAUGUUCUGGGCUGCACGCGCGCUACACUGACUGAAGCAGAAAGUUUAUCCUUGGCCAAUAGGUCUGGGUAAUCUCAUUAAUUUCAGUCGUGAUGGGGACAGAGCCUUGCAAUUAUGGCUCUCGAACGAGGAAUUCCUAGUAAGUGCAAUUCAUCAAAUUGCGCUGAUUACGUCCCUGCCCUUUGUACACACCGCCCGUCGCUCCUACCGAUUGAACGAUCCGGUGAAGUAUUGAGAGAUUUGGAGGGCUUGCUCUCUGUUUUCAAACUUUA